This 435-nucleotide ribosomal RNA is filed under the name uncultured bacterium. RNAcentral describes it as "partial 16S ribosomal RNA". It matches the Rfam family "Bacterial small subunit ribosomal RNA", at positions 29 to 507 of the family's 1533-position model. The record is from RNAcentral.
AGCGAACGCUGGCGGCAGGCUUAACACAUGCAAGUCGAGCGGGCAUAGCAAUAUGUCAGCGGCAGACGGGUGAGUAACGCGUGGGAACGUACCUUUUGGUUCGGAACAACUGAGGGAAACUUCAGCUAAUACCGGAUAAGCCCUUACGGUGAAAGAUUUAUCGCCGAAAGAUCGGCCCGCGUCUGAUUAGCUAGUUGGUGAGGUAAUGGCUCACCAAGGCGACGAUCAGUAGCUGGUCUGAGAGGAUGAUCAGCCACAUUGGGACUGAGACACGGCCCAAACUCAGACGGGAGGCAGCGGAGGGGAAUAUUGGACAAUGGGCGCAAACCUGAUCCAGCCGUGCCGCGUGAGUGAUGAAGGCCCUAGGGUUGUAAAGCUCUUUUGUACGGGAAGAGAAUGACGGCACCGCAAGAAUAAGCCCCGGCUAACUUCGUG